UGACAUGGCUCUUACAUUGCAAUGGCAUGGCAAAACGAAUGAUGUGCCUAGUUUUGUGGCUAGAUAGAUGAUGGUGUGGCAGGAUGUUAUAGGUGGUCAAAGACGAUAUGUCUUAUCUAUAUUGAUCCAGUAAAAUGACAUGUUGGUUAUUAUGAUUGUUUUAUAUAAUAGGCAAUGAGAAGAUACAUAGAAAAGUACAAUUGUAGUGAGGGCCAAUGAUUGGAGAGAAGAUGUGCUGAAGGCCGAUGAUCCUCGUAGAUAAAGCCUUCACAAAGAAAAAAAAAGGGCCUUAAACUACACGGUGCAGAAGCUGGAAGGUAGUUGGUGAAACUGACAAUAGAGAGAAACUGCUUAGAGAUGAUGAGGCGAGACAAUGAAAGAUCUAAAAUGAAGGAGAAAGGUAGUAGAAAGGAGUAUGGAUUAUUUAGAAAGCAAUGGAUUUUUGGGUGUUAAUCUAUCGAAAAUAGAGGAUCUGCAAAUCUACUAAAGAACAUGGGAUUUUGGAUGUUGAUUUACUAAGAACUAAGGAUCUACGAAUCCACCAAAAAAUAGAGGAUCUUUAGGUGGUUAUUCACUAUGAUAGAUUGGCAAUAGGAGUCUUCAAUACUUCUAGACACAGCAAUGACAGCCAUAAUAGAAGUAGAGGAGAUGACGGCAUCAUAUUAGGUGAUCGAUGUCUCUCAUACUAUAUUUAAAGUAUUUGUAGA
RNAcentral lists this long non-coding RNA (707 nucleotides) under Elaeis guineensis (African oil palm). Its description in RNAcentral is "long non-coding RNA (EGUI_LNC021292)". Lineage: Eukaryota; Viridiplantae; Streptophyta; Magnoliopsida; Arecales; Arecaceae. The record is from RNAcentral.